ACGGAAGGCAGCAGUGAGGAAUAUUGGUCAAUGGACGCAAGUCUGAACCAGCCAUGCCGCGUGCAGGAAUAAGGCCCUAUGGGUCGUAAACUGCUUUUGUGGUGGAGCAAUAAGUCGUACGUGUACGGCGAUGAGAGUACAUCACGAAUAAGCAUCGGCUAACUCCGUGCCAGCAGCCGCGGUAAUACGGAGGAUGCAAGCGUUAUCCGGAUUUAUUGGGUUUAAAGGGUGCGUAGGCUGUGGUCCAAGUCAGGGGUGAAAGCCCGGAGCUCAACUCCGGAACUGCCUUUGAUACUGGAUUGCUGGAAUACGGAUGCCGUGGGAGGAAUGAGUAGUGUAGCGGUGAAAUGCAUAGAUAUUACUCAGAACACCGAUUGCGAAGGCAUCCCACGAAUCCGUCAUUGACGCUGAGGCACGAAAGCGUGGGGAUCAAACAGGAUUAGAUACCCUGGUA
Molecule: ribosomal RNA, 454 nt
Filed under: uncultured Rikenellaceae bacterium
Lineage: Bacteria; Pseudomonadati; Bacteroidota; Bacteroidia; Bacteroidales; Rikenellaceae
Description: partial 16S ribosomal RNA
Rfam family: Bacterial small subunit ribosomal RNA
Source: RNAcentral